CCUCCAGAUGUGAGUGUGUUCUGAGUGUGUCACACUCCAGAUGUGAGUGUGUCAUCAAUCACUUUGAUGAUUUUUAUAUCUUAGUUAUUGUAAUAAUGUUGCCAUGAGUAUGGGGUUUGCAGGUAUGUUUUCAAAAUAGUGUUUUUCUUUUCUGCAGAUACAUACCCAGAGUUGGAAAAACUGGAUCAUGAGGUUGUUCUAUUUUGAAAAUUAGACCACGGAUGUGUGAAUAGAGACAGAGACCUAGGGAGCCACAGAAACCAGCAGGACUCUCAGGGCUUUGCACCAUGGGGAGGAAUGUGCUCUGUAACCAGCAGGGGGCGCUGUGGGACUUCCCUGGGGUCCCCACACAGCUGCUCAAUGAAGACCAUUCAGGCAAAGGAGCUGGGUGGGGGUGGGGCACAGUCACAGGGAGACCCGCCCUGUGCUCCCUGAUGGUAACUCAGCAGCUAUGUCUUUUAUGGCCUGUCAGAGUCCUCUGAACAAAGAUGGUUGAGUUUUCUCAGCAGGUGUUUCGUCUAAGGGCUCUUUCACGGGGUGAAAUCAAUCUUCAUUCUCCUCACUCUGGGGUGUGAGCUGAGCUCCAGCACCAGGGCUCAGGGAGGGGCUGGGCAGCCUCUGGGUGGACACACAUUUGCAUGGACUGCCCCUCCCCUGGCAGAGGGUGGGCAGAAAAGAGGCCUGGGCAGCCCAGCCCCACUGUGGGCUCAGGGGCUGUGUGCACCAUGGCCUGGACCCCUCUGCUCCUCGUGUUCCUCUCUCACUGCACAGGUAGGGACAGGCCUUGGUAUCAGGCCUCUGUUCCUAUUUAUUCUCUUCAUACUCCAUCUGCUAAGAAAUCUCCCCUGAUUUUUAUCUCAUCACUGAAAAGUAUGUACUUCCCAGGUUCCCUCUCAUACCCUGUGCUGACUCAGCUGCCCUCCCUCUCUGCAUCUCCUGGAGCUACAGCCAGACUCACCUGCACCAUGAGCAGUGGCUUCAGUGUUGACAACUACUACACAAACUGUCUCAGGAAGCAGAAACCAAACCAAAACAAAACAUUAAUGACACAGCAGUGCUGCCAUGUGCACUACAACCAGAGCCUGUGGAACUUCCCUCUUUCCCUUGGGAUAAGAUGUAGUUGGAAAUGUCCAUCACUCCAGGGUGUGGGCCAGUCUAUGGGCCAGCAGAAGUAGGACAUCCCUGAGGUGUUCCUGAGUCACUGCCCCUGGAAAGCUCUUGAUCGGCCCAGAAUUACCAUGUGACCAGCUUCAAAAACACUCCUCAGAGAGGCUUGUUAGAAUGACAAGGGAGCAGAAGUGCAGCUGCUGUGACCUGUUUCCCCAGAACCUGCUGCUCCCAGGAAAGCGCCUAAAGACCAUGGGAUGGUGGGAGACAGUGGGUUCGCUGUCAGUGCUGCACUUGUGGUAAAGUCAGUGUAACAGUCGAAAUGGGAUUCGGCCAGCUUCCAGUAUUUUUUUUCCCAAAUACAUGAUCUGUAUUAAA
This is a long non-coding RNA of Artibeus jamaicensis (Jamaican fruit-eating bat), 1485 nucleotides long. RefSeq lists it as uncharacterized. The record is from RefSeq and is a predicted model, not a curated record. NCBI's taxonomy places the organism in Eukaryota, Metazoa, Chordata, Mammalia, Chiroptera, Phyllostomidae. The transcript has 4 exons.